AACGAACGCUGGCGGCGUGCUUAACACAUGCAAGUCGAACGAGAAAGCCCUUCGGGGUGAGUAGAGUGGCGCACGGGUGAGUAACACGUAGGUUAUCUACCUUAGGGUGGGGGAUAACCAGGAGAAAUCCUGGCUAAUACCGCAUACGAACGAAAGUUGAAAGGAUGCUUCGGCAUUCACCCUUAGAUGAGCCUGCGGGACAUUAGCUUGAUGGUGGGGUAAUGGCCUACCAUGGCGACGAUGUCUAGCUGGUCUGAGAGGAUGAUCAGCCACACUGGAACUGAGACACGGUCCAG
RNAcentral lists this ribosomal RNA (296 nucleotides) under uncultured Bacteriovorax sp. RNAcentral's name for it is "partial 16S ribosomal RNA". It matches the Rfam family "Bacterial small subunit ribosomal RNA", at positions 29 to 334 of the family's 1533-position model. The record is from RNAcentral. Lineage: Bacteria; Pseudomonadati; Bdellovibrionota; Bacteriovoracia; Bacteriovoracales; Bacteriovoracaceae.